Molecule: non-coding RNA, 87 nt
Organism: Asterophora parasitica
Lineage: Eukaryota; Fungi; Basidiomycota; Agaricomycetes; Agaricales; Lyophyllaceae
Source: the annotation of a GenBank genome assembly
GGGCACAUGGUGUAGUUGGUUAUCACGCCCGCUUAGCAAGUUCUCCUUGUCUGCGGGCGGUCCCCGGUUCAAUUCCGGGUGUGUCCA